RNAcentral lists this ribosomal RNA (500 nucleotides) under uncultured organism. RNAcentral's name for it is "SSU rRNA". It matches the Rfam family "Bacterial small subunit ribosomal RNA", at positions 15 to 509 of the family's 1533-position model. The record is from RNAcentral.
GAUCCUGGCUCAGGAUGAACGCUAGCGGCAGGCUUAACACAUGCAAGUCGAGGGGCAGCGCGUUGUAGCAAUACGAUGGCGGCGACCGGCGAAAGGGUGCGUAACGCGUGAGCAACCUGCCCGUAUCCGGGACAUAAGCGGUGGAAACGCCGUCUAAUUUCCCAUAACAACGAGGGCCGCAUGGUCCAUGUUUGAAAGAUGCGUCGGAUACGGAUGGGCUCGCGAGACAUUAGCUAGUCGGCGUGGUAACGGCACACCGAGGCGACGAUGUCUAGGGGUUCUGAGAGGAAGGUCCCCCACACUGGAACUGAGACACGGUCCAGACUCCUACGGGAGGCAGCAGUGAGGAAUAUUGGUCAAUGGGCGCAAGCCUGAACCAGCCAAGUAGCGUGCGGGAUGAAGGCCCUACGGGUUGUAAACCGCUUUUUCACGGGGAUAAAGAGGGCCACGCGUGGCCCGUUGCAGGUACCGUGCGAAUAAGGACCGGCUAAUUCCGUGCC